GACGAACGCUGGCGGCGUGCUUAACACAUGCAAGUCGAACGGUGAAGCUCCAGCUUGCUGGAGUGGAUCAGUGGCGAACGGGUGAGUAACACGUGAGCAACCUGCCCCUGACUCUGGAAUAAGCGCUGGAAACGGCGUCUAAUACUGGAUACGAGAAGGGUCCGCAUGGGCACUUUCUGGAAAGUUUUUCGGUUGGGGAUGGGCUCGCGGCCUAUCAGCUUGUUGGUGAGGUAAUGGCUCACCAAGGCGACGACGGGUAGCCGGCCUGAGAGGGCGACCGGCCACACUGGGACUGAGACACGGCCCAGACUCCUACGGGAGGCAGCAGUGGGGAAUAUUGCACAAUGGGCGAAAGCCUGAUGCAGCGACGCCGCGUGAGGGAUGACGGCCUUCGGGUUGUAAACCUCUUUCAGCAGGGAAGAAGCGAAAGUGACGGUACCUGCAGAAGAAGCACCGGCUAACUUCGUG
This 468-nucleotide ribosomal RNA is filed under the name uncultured bacterium. Its description in RNAcentral is "partial 16S ribosomal RNA". It matches the Rfam family "Bacterial small subunit ribosomal RNA", at positions 28 to 507 of the family's 1533-position model. The record is from RNAcentral.